RNAcentral lists this ribosomal RNA (373 nucleotides) under Actinomycetota bacterium. Its description in RNAcentral is "bacterial SSU rRNA". It matches the Rfam family "Bacterial small subunit ribosomal RNA", at positions 1 to 367 of the family's 1533-position model. The record is from RNAcentral. Lineage: Bacteria; Bacillati; Actinomycetota.
UUCACGGAGAGUUUGAUCCUGGCUCAGGACGAACGCUGGCGGCGUGCUUAACACAUGCAAGUGGUGCGACGAACCAGGGCUUGCCCUGGGGCAAAGCCGCGAACGGGUGAGUAACACGUGAGUAACCUGCCCCGAUGACCGGGACAACCCGAGGAAACUCGGGCUAAUACCGGAUGUGGCGCACAGGCGCAAGCCUGAUCGCUAAAGGAAGCUUCGGCCUCCGCAUUGGGAGGGGCUCGCGGCCCAUUAGCUUGUUGGUGGGGUAACGGCCCACCAAGGCGACGAUGGGUAGCUGGUCUGAGAGGACGAUCAGCCACACUGGGACUGAGACACGGCCCAGACUCCUACGGGAGGCAGCAGUGGGGAAUCUUGC